UACGGGGGGGGCAAGCGUUGUUCGGAAUUACUGGGCGUAAAGGGUUCGUAGGUGGCCAACUAAGUCAUACGUGAAAUCCCUCAGCUUAACUGGGGAACUGCGUCUGAUACUGGUUGGCUUGAGUGCAGGAGAGGAACGCGGAAUUCCAGGUGUAGCGGUGAAAUGCGUAGAUAUCUGGAGGAACACCGGUGGCGAAGGCGGCGUUCUGGACUGCAACUGACACUGAGGAACGAAAGCCAGGGGAGCAAACAGG
RNAcentral lists this ribosomal RNA (253 nucleotides) under uncultured bacterium. Its description in RNAcentral is "partial 16S ribosomal RNA". It matches the Rfam family "Bacterial small subunit ribosomal RNA", at positions 524 to 776 of the family's 1533-position model. The record is from RNAcentral.